RNAcentral lists this transfer RNA (87 nucleotides) under Alphaproteobacteria bacterium. RNAcentral's name for it is "tRNA-Leu". It matches the Rfam family "tRNA". From Rfam's summary of the family: Transfer RNA (tRNA) molecules are approximately 80 nucleotides in length. Their secondary structure includes four short double-helical elements and three loops (D, anti-codon, and T loops). RNAcentral also lists the same sequence under 1 other name. The record is from RNAcentral. Lineage: Bacteria; Pseudomonadati; Pseudomonadota; Alphaproteobacteria.
GCCCCUGUGGCGGAACUGGUAGACGCGCGGGAUUCAAAAUCCCGUUCCUUUACGGGAGUGGGAGUUCGAUUCUCCCCGGGGGCACCA